RNAcentral lists this ribosomal RNA (428 nucleotides) under uncultured bacterium. RNAcentral's name for it is "bacterial SSU rRNA". It matches the Rfam family "Bacterial small subunit ribosomal RNA", at positions 958 to 1392 of the family's 1533-position model. The record is from RNAcentral.
AACGCGAAGAACCUUACCAGGUCUUGACAUCCGAUGCAUAGUGCAGAGAUGCGUGAAGUCCUUCGGGACAUCGAGACAGGUGGUGCAUGGUUGUCGUCAGCUCGUGUCGUGAGAUGUUGGGUUAAGUCCCGCAACGAGCGCAACCCUUAUUGCCAGUUACUACGCAAGAGGACUCUGGCGAGACUGCCGUUGACAAAACGGAGGAAGGUGGGGAUGACGUCAAAUCAUCAUGCCCUUUAUGACCUGGGCUACACACGUACUACAAUGGCGUUUAACAAAGAGAAGCAAUACCGCGAGGUGGAGCAAAACUCAAAAACAACGUCUCAGUUCAGAUUGCAGGCUGCAACUCGCCUGCAUGAAGUCGGAAUUGCUAGUAAUCGCGGAUCAGCAUGCCGCGGUGAAUACGUUCCCGGGUCUUGUACACACCG